UACAGAGGGUGCAAGCGUUGUUCGGAAUUAUUGGGCGUAAAGCGCGUGUAGGCGGCUUUGCAAGUCGGGUGUGAAAGCCCUCGGCUCAACCGAGGAAGUGCGCCCGAAACUGCAGAGCUUGAGUACCGGAGAGGAUGGCGGAAUUCCCCAAGUAGAGGUGAAAUUCGUAGAUAUGGGGAGGAACACCGGUGGCGAAGGCGGCCAUCUGGACGGAUACUGACGCUGAGACGCGAAAGCGUGGGGAGCAAAC
This 250-nucleotide ribosomal RNA is filed under the name uncultured bacterium. Its description in RNAcentral is "partial 16S ribosomal RNA". It matches the Rfam family "Bacterial small subunit ribosomal RNA", at positions 524 to 773 of the family's 1533-position model. The record is from RNAcentral.